GACGAACGCUGGCGGCGUGCUUAACACAUGCAAGUCGAACGGAAAGGCCCUGCUUGCAGGGUACUCGAGUGGCGAACGGGUGAGUAACACGUGGGUGAUCUGCCCUGCACUUCGGGAUAAGCUUGGGAAACUGGGUCUAAUACCGGAUAGGAACCAUCUUUAGUGUGGUGGUUGGAAAGUUUUUUCGGUGUAGGAUGAGCUCGCGGCCUAUCAGCUUGUUGGUGGGGUAAUGGCGUACCAAGGCGGCGACGGGUAGCCGGCCUGAGAGGGUGUACGGCCACACUGGGACUGAGAGACGGGCCAGAGUCCGGCGUGAGGCAGCAGUGGGGAAUAUUGCACAAUGGGCGCAAGCCUGAUGGAGCGACGCCGCGUGGGGGAUGAAGGCCUUCGGGUUGUAAACUCCUAUGGCUAGGGACGAAGCUUUGUUGUGACGGUACCUAGAUAAGAAGCACCGGCUAACUACGUG
RNAcentral lists this ribosomal RNA (466 nucleotides) under uncultured bacterium. RNAcentral's name for it is "partial 16S ribosomal RNA". It matches the Rfam family "Bacterial small subunit ribosomal RNA", at positions 28 to 507 of the family's 1533-position model. The record is from RNAcentral.